RNAcentral lists this ribosomal RNA (373 nucleotides) under uncultured bacterium. RNAcentral's name for it is "bacterial SSU rRNA". It matches the Rfam family "Bacterial small subunit ribosomal RNA", at positions 525 to 896 of the family's 1533-position model. The record is from RNAcentral.
ACGUAGGGUGCGAGCGUUAAUCGGAAUUACUGGGCGUAAAGCGUGCGCAGGCGGUUUUGUAAGACAGAUGUGAAAUCCCCGGGCUUAACCUGGGAACUGCGUUUGUGACUGCAAGACUAGAGUGUGGCAGAGGGGGGUAGAAUUCCACGUGUAGCAGUGAAAUGCGUAGAGAUGUGGAGGAAUACCGAUGGCGAAGGCAGCCCCCUGGGUCAACACUGACGCUCAUGCACGAAAGCGUGGGGAGCAAACAGGAUUAGAUACCCUGGUAGUCCACGCCCUAAACGAUGCGAACUAGGUGUUGGGGAAGGAGACUUUCUUAGUACCGCAGCUAACGCGUGAAGUUCGCCGCCUGGGGAGUACGGUCGCAAGAUUA